RNAcentral lists this ribosomal RNA (839 nucleotides) under uncultured Hyphomicrobiales bacterium. Its description in RNAcentral is "bacterial SSU rRNA". It matches the Rfam family "Bacterial small subunit ribosomal RNA", at positions 94 to 969 of the family's 1533-position model. Lineage: Bacteria; Pseudomonadati; Pseudomonadota; Alphaproteobacteria; Hyphomicrobiales. The record is from RNAcentral.
AGCGGCAGACGGGUGAGUAACGCGUGGGAAUCUACCUUAAGCUACGGGAUAACAGAGAGAAAUUUCUGCUAAUACCGUAUGUGGCCUAUGGGCGAAAGAUUUAUCGGCUUAAGAUGAGCCCGCGUUGGAUUAGCUAGUUGGUGGGGUAAAGGCCUACCAAGGCGACGAUCCAUAGCUGGUCUGAGAGGAUGAUCAGCCACACUAGGACUGAGACACGGCCCAGACUCCUACGGGAGGCAGCAGUGGGGAAUAUUGGACAAUGGGCGGAAGCCUGAUCCAGCCAUGCCGCGUGAGUGAAGAAGGCCUUAGGGUUGUAAAGCUCUUUCACCGGUGAAGAUAAUGACGGUAACCGGAGAAGAAGCCCCGGCUAACUUCGUGCCAGCAGCCGCGGUAAUACGAAGGGGGCUAGCGUUGUUCGGAUUUACUGGGCGUAAAGCGCGCGUAGGCGGAUAGAUAAGUCAGAGGUGAAAUCCCGGGGCUCAACCCCGGAAUUGCCUUUGAUACUGUUUAUCUUGAGUGCAGAAGAGGUAAGUGGAAUUCCGAGUGUAGAGGUGAAAUUCGUAGAUAUUCGGGGGAACACCAGUGGCGAAGGCGGCUUACUGGUCUGCAACUGACGCUGAGGCGCGAAAGCGUGGGGAGCAAACAGGAUUAGAUACCCUGGUAGUCCACGCCGUAAACGAUGGAAGCCAGCCGUUGGCAGAUUUAUCUGUCGGUGGCGCAGCUAACGCAUUAAGCUUCCCGCCUGGGGAGUACGGUCGCAAGAUUAAGACUCAAAGGAAUUGACGGGGGCCCGCACAAGCGGUGGANCAUGUGGUUUAAUUCGAAGCAACGCGCAGAAC